GUGCUUAUUUCCGCAGUACAUACACUAAAAUUGGAAUGAUACAGAGAAGAUUAACAUGGUCCCUGAGCAAAGAAUGCAUACAAAUUCAUGAAGCAUUCCAUACUUUC
Molecule: small nuclear RNA, 107 nt
Organism: Meriones unguiculatus (Mongolian gerbil)
Lineage: Eukaryota; Metazoa; Chordata; Mammalia; Rodentia; Muridae
Source: Ensembl